AUUUUCUGACGGGUUCGAUUUUGGAGGGGCGAAAAAGUGGGUAUUUACUAUCAUAUUGAGUUUCAACGUCAGUUGUGGGACCAAAACACCAACUAUAAGGAAUUAUGCUUCGUAAAUGGAAGAGAAGUAGUAAAAGAUGUCAAUGGAUGGAAAAAACAU
This is a non-coding RNA of Styela clava, 159 nucleotides long. NCBI's taxonomy places the organism in Eukaryota, Metazoa, Chordata, Ascidiacea, Stolidobranchia, Styelidae. The record is from RefSeq and is a predicted model, not a curated record.